AUCUACCUUGUACGGGGGAAUAGCCCAGAGAAAUUUGGAUUAAUGCCCCAUAGUAUAGUUGAAUGGCAUCAUUUGAUUAUUAAAGUUCAGGCGGUACAAGAUGAGCAUGCGUCCCAUUAGCUAGUUGGUAUGGUAACGGCAUACCAAGGCAAUGAUGGGUAGGGGUCCUGAGAGGGAGAUCCCCCACACUGGUACUGAGACACGGACCAGACUCCUACGGGAGGCAGCAGUGAGGAAUAUUGGGCAAUGGACGCUAGUCUGACCCAGCCAUGCCGCGUGCAGGAAGACGGUCCUAUGGAUUGUAAACUGCUUUUGUACGGGAAGAAACCCUACUACGCGUAGUAGAUUGACGGUACCGUACGAAUAAGGAUCGGCUAACUCCGUGCCAGCAGCCGCGGUAAUACGGAGGAUCCAAGCGUUAUCCGGAAUCAUUGGGUUUAAAGGGUCCGUAGGCGGUUUUAUAAGUCAGUGGUGAAAUCUGGUCGCUCAACGAUCAAACGGCCAUUGAUACUGUAGAACUUGAAUGAUUAGGAAGUAACUAGAAUAUGUAGUGUAGCGGUGAAAUGCUUAGAUAUUACAUGGAAUACCAAUUGCGAAGGCAGGUUACUACUAAUUGAUUGACGCUGAUGGACGAAAGCGUGGGUAGCGAACAGGAUUAGAUACCCUGGUAGUCCACGCCGUAAACGAUGGAUACUAGCUGUUGGGAGCAAUUUCAGUGGCUAAGCGAAAGUGAUAAGUAUCCCACCUGGGGAGUACGAACGCAAGUUUGAAACUCAAAGGAAUUGACGGGGGCCCGCACAAGCGGUGGAGCAUGUGGUUUAAUUCGAUGAUACGCGAGGAACCUUACCAAGGCUUAAAUGUAUUUUGACCGGUUUGGAAACAGACCUUUCGCAAGACAAAUUACAAGGUGCUGCAUGGUUGUCGUCAGCUCGUGCCGUGAGGUGUCAGGUUAAGUCCUUUAACGAGCGCAACCCCUGUUGUUAGUUGCCAGCGAGUAAGGUCGGGAACUCUAGCAAGACUGCCAGUGCAAACUGUGAGGAAGGUGGGGAUGACGUCAAAUCAUCACGGCCCUUACGCCUUGGGCUACACACGUGCUACAAUGGUAAGUACAGAGAGCAGCCACAACGCAAGUUGGAGCGAAUCUAUAAAGCUUAUCUCAGUUCGGAUCGGAGCCUGCAACUCGACUCCGUGAAGCUGGAAUCGCUAGUAAUCGGAUAUCAGCCAUGAUCCGGUGAAUACGUUCCCGGGCCUUGUACACACCGCCCGUCAAGCCAUGGAAGCUGGGGGUACCUGAAGUCGGUGACCGCAAGGAGCUGCCUAGGGUAAAACUGGUAACUGGGGCUAAGUCGUAACAAGGUAACCAAGCC
RNAcentral lists this ribosomal RNA (1367 nucleotides) under uncultured bacterium. RNAcentral describes it as "bacterial SSU rRNA". It matches the Rfam family "Bacterial small subunit ribosomal RNA". The record is from RNAcentral.